GCGUGAGGGAGGAGGCUCUUGGGUCGUAAACCUCUUUUCUCAGGGAAGAACACAAUGACGGUACCUGAGGAAUAAGCAUCGGCUAACUCCGUGCCAGCAGCCGCGGUAAUACGGAGGAUGCAAGCGUUAUCCGGAAUGAUUGGGCGUAAAGCGUCCGCAGGUGGCAAUGUAAGUCUGCUGUUAAAGAGUGAGGCUCAACCUCAUAAGAGCAGUGGAAACUACAUAGCUAGAGUACGUUCGGGGCAGAGGGAAUUCCUGGUGUAGCGGUGAAAUGCGUAGAGAUCAGGAAGAACACCGGUGGCGAAGGCGCUCUGCUAGGCCGUAACUGACACUGAGGGACGAAAGCUAGGGGAGCGAAUGGGAUUAGAUACCCCAGUAGUCCUAGCCGUAAACGAUGGAUACUAGGCGUGGCUUGUAUCGACCCGAGCCGUGCCGUAGCUAACGCGUUAAGUAUCCCGCCUGGGGGAGUACGCCGGGCAACGGUGAAACUCAAAAGGAAUUGACGGGGGCCCCGCACAAGCGGUGGAGUAUGUGGUUUAAUUCGAUGCAACGCGAAGAACCUUACCAAGGCUUGACAUGUCGCGAAUCCUGGUGAAAGCUGGGAGUGCCUUCGGGAGCGCGAACACAGGUGGUGCAUGGCUGUCGUCAGCUCGUGUCGUGAGAUGUUGGGGUUAAGUCCCGCAACGAGCGCAACCCUCGUUUUUUAGUUGCCAGCAUUAAGUUGGGCACUCUAGAGAGACUGCCGGUGACAAACCGGAGGAAGGUGGGGAUGACGUCAAGUCAGCAUGCCCCUUACGCCUUGGGCUACACACGUACUACAAUGCUCCGGACAAAGGGCAGCUACACAGCGAUGUGAUGCAAAUCUCAUAAACCGGAGCUCAGUUCAGAUCGCAGGCUGCAACUCGCCUGCGUGAAGGAGGAAUCGCUAGUAAUUGCAGGUCAGCAUACUGCAGUGAAUUCGUUCCCGGGCCUUGUACACACCGCCCGUCACACCAUGGAAGCUGGUAGUGCCCGAAGUCAUUACUCCAACCGUUCGCGGAGGAGGAUGCCUAAGGCAGGACUGGUGACUGGGGUGAAGUCGUAACAAGGUAGCCGUACCGGAAGGUGUGGCUGGAUCACCUCCU
RNAcentral lists this ribosomal RNA (1124 nucleotides) under Nostoc sp. 'Gunnera magellanica cyanobiont'. Its description in RNAcentral is "bacterial SSU rRNA". It matches the Rfam family "Bacterial small subunit ribosomal RNA", at positions 399 to 1531 of the family's 1533-position model. The record is from RNAcentral. Lineage: Bacteria; Bacillati; Cyanobacteriota; Cyanophyceae; Nostocales; Nostocaceae.